Molecule: ribosomal RNA, 440 nt
Filed under: uncultured bacterium
Lineage: Bacteria
Description: partial 16S ribosomal RNA
Rfam family: Bacterial small subunit ribosomal RNA
Source: RNAcentral
CCUACGGGAGGCUGCAGUGGGGAAUAUUGCACAAUGGGGGAAACCCUGAUGCAGCGACGCCGCGUGAGUGAAGAAGUAUUUCGGUAUGUAAAGCUCUAUCAGCAGGGAAGAAAAUGACGGUACCUGAUUAAGAAGCCCCGGCUAACUACGUGCCAGCAGCCGCGGUAGUACGUAGGGGGCAAGCGUUCUCCGGAUGUACUGGGUGUAACGGGAGCGUAGACGGCAGCACAAGUCUGGAGUGAAAUGCCGGGGCUUAACCCCGGAACUGCUUUGGAAACUGUGCAGCUGGAGUGCAGGAGAGGUAAGUGGAAUUCCUAGUGUAGCGGUGAAAUGCGUAGAUAUUAGGAGGAACACCAGUGGCGAAGGCGACUUACUGGACUGUAACUGACGUUGAGGCUCGAAAGCGUGGGGAGCAAACAGGAUUAGAUACCCCUGUAGUC